RNAcentral lists this unclassified non-coding RNA (567 nucleotides) under Hevea brasiliensis (rubber tree). The record is from RNAcentral. Lineage: Eukaryota; Viridiplantae; Streptophyta; Magnoliopsida; Malpighiales; Euphorbiaceae.
UUCAAGAAUUUCAAGAAAGAAUAGGGAAAAGAAACCCUAACAGAGGCCAAUAAUUGGACAAUUGUUAAUGGAACAAAUUUAAAAGUAAUUAGAGCAAAAGAUUGUGAACAUAGAGUCAGAAGGAGAAGAAUAUACGAGAGAGAAAUUAAGUAAGAACAGAAGCAGAAGGAGAAGAAAGAAUUUCAAGAUGAAUUUCAAGAAUAGGGUUUUGCCAAGAAAAAGAAACAGAAGGAAAAGAAAGGAAGGAAAUUCCUGGGAAAAGAAGGAAAGGAAGUUUAGUGAAGGAAGAAAGAAGGAAUAGAUGAAAAAGUGAAAGAAAUCUCAUGAAAGAAGAAAAGGAAUAGGGGAAAGAAGAAAGAAAAGCAGAGAAAAACCUAGAAUUUUGGAAUGUUGGAAGACUCCCAUGAAUCUGCUCAGGAUUGCGACUCCAGCAGAAAAGAUUGGAAGCAAACCAAGCUCAGAUCAGCGCUAUGAUACCACUUUGUUACAUGUCAGUCUGCACACUUACUGAAGCAGAGAAAUAGGGAGAGAAAGAAAUAGAAAUAGAUUGGGUGAGAAGAGAAAUAG